UGGACCGGAGGCAACAGCUGGAUGAGGCUCUGGUGAACAUGGUGGUGAAGGACUCACAGCCUUUUUCCAUCGUUGAGGACGGUGGAUUCAAGGCAUUUGUGGCAUUGCUGGAUCCAACCUACACCAUGCCAUCCAGAAAGGCUGUGAAGAACAUGGUUUUCCGGAAGUACGAGGAGGAGAAGACCAAGGCCAAGGCUGCCAUGCAGAAGGUACAGGCUGUGAGUCUGACUUCAGACAUGUGGACCUCCAUUAAUAUGGAGGCAUACCUAGCAGUCACCUGCCAUUAUGUCGAUGACACUUCGAAGCUGGCCACAGUGCUUUUGGGAGUGCUGCCUUUCCCCGAGACUCAUACGGCUGUGAACAUUUCUGCAGCAAUGAGGUCUCUCAUGGAGGAAUGGGACAUUGAGAGUAAAGUGGCUUCGAUUGUGACGGAUGCGGGAGCCAACAUGAUUGCCUGUGUCAGAAUGUUGAAUUUGAGACAUGCACUUUGUUUUGCACACUCUAAAUUUAGUGGUGAAGAAGUCCAAUGAUGCUACACCAGGUCUAGAAGACCUACGCACAAGGGCACGCAAAGUUGUCACCUUUUUCAGAACGAGCACUACAGCAAAGGAGAAGCUGAAAGAAGUGCAGGAGCAACUGAACAGGCCAGUGAUGAAGCUCAUCCAAGAAGUGGACACACGCUGGAACAGCACCUUCCUUAUGCUCCAGCGCCUCUUCCAGGAGAGACAGGCAGUAGGGGCAGCUCUCGCUACACUGACGACAGAUGUGACACCCAUGUCCUGAGGAUUAUGAAGCAACGGCUGCGUGCCUACAUCUGAUUGCCCCCUUCAACCAGGCAACCGUUGAACUUUCAGAGGAGAAAAGAGUGUCAGGGUUCAAGGUCAUUCCAAUGACCAUAAUGUUAAAUAUAUAUCUGCAUGGGGAGAUGCAGAACACAAGGCACCCCACAGCAAAACUGUUGGGACAGAACCUCAUUUAUGCAAAAACCUUUUGAACCAUUUGAACCUGCAGAGACCCAGACAGCCCUGACACUGGCAACACUUCUGGAUCCCAGAUACAAGAUGAUGGGAUUCAAUAAUCAAAUACAGGUGCAGGCAUCAGUGAAAAGACUGACAGCACAAUGCACACUUUUAAUGAGGGACACAGUGGACACACCACCUGACACACCGACAGAGGAACAUCCCUCCACAUCGGCCCAAGCAGCAACAGCGAAUGUGGAAAAUCCUCCUUCAACAGUGAUAAACCUGUGGGAAAGCCUCGACAGAGAUGCCUCCCAGGCAAGAAAGGGGAGGAACGCAACAGCAGAUGCAACAGUCGAGGUGCAGCGCUAUUUGACGGAUCCACCCAUAUCAAGAUGUGAAGAUCCACUGAAGUACUGGCGGGAACAUCAAAAUGUGUACACACAUUUAUUCAAGCUGGCAAACAAAUUUUUAUGUACGCCAGCAUCCUCGGUACCAUCGGAGCGAAUUUUCUCAAUGUGGAGAAAUUGUGAGCAAGAAGAGAAACCGGCUCAACCCUAAAACUGUGGAAAAAAUAAUGUUCCUAAAUAAAAAUCUUUGAAUUUUCC
Long non-coding RNA from Gadus morhua (Atlantic cod), 1567 nucleotides. The record is from Ensembl. Lineage: Eukaryota; Metazoa; Chordata; Actinopteri; Gadiformes; Gadidae.